Molecule: transfer RNA, 75 nt
Filed under: Klebsiella oxytoca
Lineage: Bacteria; Pseudomonadati; Pseudomonadota; Gammaproteobacteria; Enterobacterales; Enterobacteriaceae
Also listed under: 13 other names
Description: tRNA-Arg
Source: RNAcentral
CCGCCAUUAGCUCAUCAGGAAGAGCGAACGACGUACGUUGUAGGGAACGGGGUUCGAGGCCUCGAUGGCGGCCCA